Molecule: long non-coding RNA, 712 nt
Organism: Rhinolophus ferrumequinum (greater horseshoe bat)
Lineage: Eukaryota; Metazoa; Chordata; Mammalia; Chiroptera; Rhinolophidae
Exons: 3
Source: RefSeq, a predicted model, not a curated record
GUCAGGAGCAAGCGAGGUGAGGCGGCGGCCUUGGCAUUUCCGUCCGGGCCUGUUGCUGGUCUCAGAGCCCACGAGCCCGUGGACGCCACAGGGUCGGCAAAGGGGAGACCCUCGGCUCCCGUGGCAGGUUAUGGGUGUGACACGAAGAUCUAAAAACCCAGAUGAAACAAAUCCUCCUCAACGGGGAGAUUUGCAAAUAGGGAUGGAGCCGUGAGACGCCUUUGACGGCAAAUAGGAAAGGUGCACAACAAGCCCUACCCACGGGAGUCGAGAGUCGGAUCACCCUCCUCCUGCCCCGCACAGCCAGUCUCAACUUGCCCUACCUGAAACCAUCCCAUCGCUCCUGCCCAGUCUCACUCACUGCUUCCUGUCUGUGAACACCUCCCAGCCAGUGCGGAAAAAUAAUUUUGGCAAGCCAAGAAAAAUGCAGCUUCCAAUCCAUAGCCAACCCGUGAUAGAUGGAAAAGAAUCUAUUACGCUGCUUUUCUUAGUUACACAAAUUGACCUUAUGUGGGACAUAAGUCCUCUUUAAGUUAGUUCCUGAGGGUGCCAUUCAUUAGUCAGACAUGCUUGUUUUAGCAGCACUAAAACGGGAUCAUAAACUUCUUAAAGUCAUACAAGGACAGAUAAAAUUUCUGAAAUGAGAACUUCAAUUCAGCUCAUCAGAAAUUGGAUUAAUGCAGACAGUGAACAGAAUAAAAGAGCCACUGUC